Non-coding RNA from Anneissia japonica, 72 nucleotides. The record is from the annotation of a RefSeq genome assembly. Lineage: Eukaryota; Metazoa; Echinodermata; Crinoidea; Comatulida; Comatulidae.
GCAUCGGUGGUUCAGUGGUAGAAUUCUCGCCUGCCACGCGGGGGAACCCGGGUUCAAUUCCCGGCCGAUGCA